Molecule: ribosomal RNA, 400 nt
Filed under: bacterium enrichment culture clone ALO1_GLFRUDD03GCV2P
Lineage: Bacteria
Description: bacterial SSU rRNA
Rfam family: Bacterial small subunit ribosomal RNA
Source: RNAcentral
GAGUUUGAUCGUGGCUCAGAUUGAACGCUGGCGGCAUGCCUUACACAUGCAAGUCGAACGGCAGCACGGGAGCUUGCUCCUGGUGGCGAGUGGCGAACGGGUGAGUAAUGCAUCGGAACGUAUCCUGGAGUGGGGGAUAACGUAGCGAAAGUUACGCUAAUACCGCAUAUUCUGUGAGCAGGAAAGCGGGGGACCUUCGGGCCUCGCGCUCUUGGAGCGGCCGAUGUCGGAUUAGCUAGUUGGUGAGGUAAAGGCUCACCAAGGCGACGAUCCGUAGCAGGUCUGAGAGGAUGAUCUGCCACACUGGAACUGAGACACGGUCCAGACUCCUACGGGAGGCAGCAGUGGGGAAUUUUGGACAAGUGGGGCAACCCUGAUCCAGCCAUGCCGCGUGAGUGAA